RNAcentral lists this unclassified non-coding RNA (305 nucleotides) under plant metagenome. RNAcentral describes it as "partial contains 5.8S ribosomal RNA, internal transcribed spacer 2, and large subunit ribosomal RNA". The stretch from base 1 to 105 matches the Rfam family "5.8S ribosomal RNA", at positions 50 to 154 of the family's 154-position model. The record is from RNAcentral.
GAAAUGCGAUAAGUAGUGUGAAUUGCAGAAUUCAGUGAAUCAUCGAAUCUUUGAACGCACAUUGCGCCCUUUGGUAUUCCAAAGGGCAUGCCUGUUCGAGCGUCAUUUGUACCCUCAAGCUUUGCUUGGUGUUGGGCGUCUUGUCUCCAGUUCGCUGGAGACUCGCCUUAAAGUAAUUGGCAGCCGGCCUACUGGUUUCGGAGCGCAGCACAAGUCGCGCUCUCUUCCAGCCAAGGUCAGCAUCCACAAAGCCUUUUUUCAACUUUUGACCUCGGAUCAGGUAGGGAUACCCGUUGAACUUAAGC